The sequence is a ribosomal RNA, 437 nucleotides long. It matches the Rfam family "Bacterial small subunit ribosomal RNA", at positions 341 to 792 of the family's 1533-position model.
ACGGGAGGCAGCAGUCGGGAAUAUUGCACAAUGGGGGAAACCCUGAUGCAGUGACGCCGCGUAUAGGAAGAAGGUCUUUGGAUUGUAAACUAUUGUCGACAGGGAAGAAAAAAAUGACAGUACCUGUGGAGGAAGCCCCGGCAAACUACGUGCCAGCAGCCGCGGUAAUACGUAGGGGGCGAGCGUUAUCCGGAUUUAUUGGGUGUAAAGGGUGCGUAGACGGAUUUGCAAGUUGGUUGUGAAAUCCCUGAGCUCAACUCAGGAACUGCAACCAAAACUGUGAACCUUGAGUGCGGGAGAGGAAAGCGGAAUUCCUAGUGUAGCGGUGAAAUGCGUAGAUAUUAGGAGGAACACCAGUGGCGAAGGCGGCUUUCUGGACCGUAACUGACGUUGAGGCACGAAAGUGUGGGGAGCAAACAGGAUUAGAUACCCUGGUA